AUUUUUUUCCGCUUUCUCUAAAACUAUCGAACCCUAGCUAAUGACUUCAGCAGCUCACCUUGUCGACCUCAUCAUUCUCCAAGCUGAAGUUCAUCGAGUCCCCGACCUCCUUCUCCGACCCAAGCCGACUGGAGCCGCCUCCGACCUGACCCCGAGUCCCAGACCUCACCCCAUGUUCCCCUGCCUCACUCUCUGACCCCGAGUUCCCUAUCUCGUUCUCCAGACCUCGAGCUUGAGAUCCGAUCUGACUCGAUUCUUCUACACUAUCAUCAUCUGCACUCAGGGACGGAGCCACUACUUGGGAUAUCGGAAAGUAGAGACACUGUUCAUCCUCGUGCUCGUACGGUUUAAAGAAGGCUUGGUUCAAUAAAAAUUCAAAAACUUGGGUGGGCUCUAGUAUUCAUUUCGAUUUCAAGAUUAUGUGUGUGAUUUACAAACUUGGGUUCAUAUCUGGGCAACAGAACUGAGAGAAGAGCAGUUGAAGCGGAUGAAUGCUGUGGAGAUUAUGGAUGAGUCUCCAGCCCAUUUGCUUGGUUCUGCAAACAGUAAGUCAGACAAUGGGCUUAAGAAACCAGAUUGUCAAGGAAUCCUAGAUAUCAUGACAUCCGUAUGGAUGAAGUAUAUCCUGCAAAGAAAUCUAGGUCCAGAAUGCUAUUUGGAAAGGAAACUGUCAAGGAAAGUAUUUCAAUGGAGCCACCUAUCAGCCUUAAGAAUCUCUCUGCCUGCUCUAGUCUGGCUUCUAAGAGAAAGCACCAACAAAUGGGGCCAGAGACUGCAGCUCAAAGCACGGAAAAAGGUGUAGCUAAAGCUGGCCAAGCAAAUGAAAACUGUAGUCAAAGUACUUUCCGUAGUGUUACUGAGAUUUCUUCGGUAAUGAUAGGUAAUCUGGCUUUGGAUCUGUUGAUAUGAUAUAUUUCGUGACAUUCAUGUUAUCUAGAUAAUCAAAGAAUAUGCUUUAACAGUUUUAUACUCAUCUUACCAUGGUAAAGCAAUGAAAGGAAUGGGCGCCCUUGAAUCCUCAAUCGCUACUGGUUUACCUGCUAAUUCUUCUGAAAGAUGUGCAGAUCCUUCAUCAACUGGUUUUGGGAACCUUUGCUUGCCUGGUGGCAAGGUUCCUCUGGAUUUUACUUUGAAAAUGAGUAUGUGAGUGGUGUCCUCUUCCCCAACAAGUCGGAUUGUCAGGUGUAAUGGGGGUUGCUUAUAUUCAAGAAGUUGGGAAAGCCAGCCUCUUUUUUGAGUUAGGCUAGCUUUUAAUUAAUAUUUUUGUAGCAAUUAUGAACAAACAUGAAUACUAAUUGCUAGGCUAGCCUUGUAGUAGGUGAAUUGGGGUUUUAUUUUGCGCAUUUUGUAAACUGUUAAGGAUGAUGAUUUCAGAUAUAUAUUUUGUGGACA
This is an RNA transcript of Rosa rugosa (rugosa rose), 1392 nucleotides long. RefSeq lists it as uncharacterized. The transcript has 8 exons. Lineage: Eukaryota; Viridiplantae; Streptophyta; Magnoliopsida; Rosales; Rosaceae. The record is from RefSeq and is a predicted model, not a curated record.